UUUUACCUUAUAAUUUGUUUUUACGAAAUCAGAAAUGACAAAACCAAAGGCUUUUGUUGUGCCACCAAAACCCGGAAAUUCAACAUCAAAUUUCUCUAGGAGUUUUCCGAGGAUCAAUAUGCCUGGUAAUAUACAAUUCCCGUUGGGCAUAUGUGUUUGUUCACCAGUUCCUGACUUUGUAUUGGUCUUUGUGGAUUAGCAGAGUUCAUUUUGCUGGCCUCAACGUUGUUCUAUCACGGACCAAGGAAUAGUCACAACACCUAGUAUUGUGGGAUUCUUGGUGUCUUGAAAAUGCAAAUCAAGACGAACUGAGGAAGGCUUAUAAAGGAACUGCUAUAAUGGGUCAUCCAACAAAUAUGAAGAUCCUGAUAAGACAGGAUCCUACUGGAGCUCAGUCCUGUGAGAGAAAGAAGCAACAGCUGUCUAAGAAACUUAUAUUAUGUAAUCAAGUCAUUCCCCCCCAACCCAAUGCCACUGUCUUCGCCGAAAAACAAACUGCUUCUCAUCCCAAAUCAAGGUGAUUGUCUAUGCCCCAAGGUAACUCCACAUCUUGGUUGUACAGCCCUUAUUACUCUGAGAGGAUAUAAGGUCUGUGUGAAUGAAGUGGAUGGAAUUUUCAGUAUAUACAAAUGUAUACUCUGUGCUUAAAUGCUUUUUUGGUUCAUUGCGGGAGUAAGUGCAAGUCGUAUUGCAGUUGUAUGUGCAGUACAUAGAUGAUAAUGUCUUUUGAUGGUAUAUCAAUUUCUUGAUGCAGCUCAUUUUAUUUUAACCUUAAGGUUCAGCUCCUUCAGCUAUUUAUAAUAUAUUGAUGACCAUUUUCUGGUCCUGAAAGUAAACUCUAAUAUAGUAACCUUGCUGUAAGGGUUAGACCUCUUUGAUUGGAAUGUCAAUAAGACUAGAUAUUUUUUUCA
Molecule: long non-coding RNA, 911 nt
Organism: Pistacia vera
Lineage: Eukaryota; Viridiplantae; Streptophyta; Magnoliopsida; Sapindales; Anacardiaceae
Exons: 2
Source: RefSeq, a predicted model, not a curated record